This 395-nucleotide unclassified non-coding RNA is filed under the name soil metagenome. RNAcentral describes it as "partial contains 5.8S ribosomal RNA, internal transcribed spacer 2, and large subunit ribosomal RNA". The stretch from base 1 to 120 matches the Rfam family "5.8S ribosomal RNA", at positions 35 to 154 of the family's 154-position model. The record is from RNAcentral.
GAUGAAGAACGUAGCGAAAUGCGAUAAGUAAUGUGAAUUGCAGAAUUCAGUGAAUCAUCGAAUCUUUGAACGCACCUUGCGCCUUUUGGUAUUCCGAAAGGCACACCUGUUUGAGCGUCAUGAAUACCUCAAUCUCCAUCUUUUCUUCGGAUUGAUGGGUGACUUGGAUGUUGAGCCCUGCUGGUAUGCUAUAUCAGCUGGCUUUAAACUUAUUAGCCGGCUCUGUACUGGAUCGGUUUGACUCGACGUGAUAAUAUUAUCGUUGAGGAUGCAUGCCUCAUGCAGCCGGAAAGUAUCAAAGCAGCUUCUAGCUUGCCUUUAGUGCACUUUUACAUUUUAGACCUCAGAUCAGGUGGGACUACCCGCUGAACUUAAGCAUAUCAAUAAGCGGAGGA